This 414-nucleotide long non-coding RNA is filed under the name Nicotiana benthamiana. RNAcentral's name for it is "long non-coding RNA (NBEN_LNC041793)". The record is from RNAcentral. Lineage: Eukaryota; Viridiplantae; Streptophyta; Magnoliopsida; Solanales; Solanaceae.
GGCAAAAUAUUAGCAGGAAUUCCUAAGGUGUCAAGUGUGGAUUUAUCCCAGUCAAGGGUUUUAAGAUUCAUCAGCAUAGUUCUCGAUGCAUUGGAGACAUCAGUGACAUGUAAACCAUUCUCCACGCCUCCUGUUAGGUUCCAAAUUAACCAGGUGUCUAUAGUUCCAAACACAGCAUCCCCCUUUUUAACAGCUUCACUCAACCCAUCCACAUUAUCCAACAGCCAGUUCUCCACACCUCCUGUUAGGUUCCAAAUUAACCAGGUGUCUAUAGUUCCAAACACAGCAUCCCCUUUUUUAACAGCUUCACUCAACCCAUCCACAUUAUCCAACAGCCACAAAAGCUUCAACGCACUGAAAUAAGUGCUUAUAGGCAAACCACAACUCUCAACAAAAUGAGUCCGUCCCCCUGGC